CAUUCGAUAAAUAAGAGUGAAAACUCCGAAUUCUUCGCCUUGUCCCAAGCUCCCAAUUUUUCAUUGCUACAAAGCCAACAGCGACAGACUAGAACCAGAUCAGAUCAUCGCACUCUUCUGCACUUCGACAUUCCGAAGAUCUUGAACGAGAUCUCCGUGCUAACAAUCUCUGUGAUUUUUUCUGGUCAGUCAAUGUUUUCUUCGUGCAUUUUGGAAGCACAACAAAGAAACAUUUUUGUAUGAUUUUGUGCCUUCUCUCCUUCCCGGUAAUGAAUUCAUUGGUUGAUUCCUUAAAUCAUGUAACGUCGAUUCUUUGAGAGGUGGGUGCAUUGUAUGUGGAUCAAUUGUUGUGUUACGCAUUACGAUCUAUCAGUGAUAGCUGCUUUCCUAGAGGCUUUGGAACAAUUAAGAAUUUUUUCAAAGGUUUUUUUUUUUUGGUUGUAUAAAUGAGAGAAGAUUGCAAAGCUAGCUGUUCCUUCUGCUAUUACAGUGGAUUUGAGGAUUUGCCACUAAAUGUUAGGCAUUUUUUGGUUUUUUUCUUUAAUCAGAUUGAGAUUCAAGAUAUGUCAAUUCUGACAUCUGGUGGUUCUGCUUGAAUUGGUGUGGUUUAUCGAGUAUUGAGAUCAAUUCAGGAGUUCUUGGUGCACUUUUUUCUGUUGCUUUGUUUUCUCAAAGCAGCCAACUGAUAAUAUUUGGGGGAAUUUAUAAUUGAUUUCAAUAGUUUUGAGGAAGGUGUUCUUGCUGUAUUCUUUCAUCUGUCUUGGUUUUAAUAUGGUGUAUAGACUGGAUGAAAAUUAGAAGACCUUAGGGUAGUUGUUAUGGGUGUGCUCGUAGAUGGCUUCAACUUAGAAUGCAAAAGGAGAUGGUAGAAAGCAAUUUAGAAACAGAAAAGUGUGCAUUUGUGGGUGAUAGUGAUAUUCAAGGUGGAAACCAGGGUCUUCGCUGGGAGCCUUCUUUCUCAGGUUGGUGUGAUGAGAAUGGGAUCAAUCAUUCAGCUCUUUCUUCAGACAAUGCUGAUCUAAGCAUAGAAGAUUCUGAUUUUGAAUUGCCUUUGCUUGAAGGGGACGGGUCAAAAGAUGGAUGUUUAGGUGUGGAAAGAUAGAAAUUUAGUAAGUCUAAGCUGAGAAGUAUGCAUAUCAAUGGAGGUCAUUCCUUGGAUAACACAUCUUACCAUAUUGAAGGGAAUGGAAAUGAGAGAAACAAUGUUCCAUUUGAUGUUGAAAAUGGCUCUGGGAGCCAACCGCAUGGCUCUGCUUCACAAGGAACACAUAAAACAGUAUCAGAUACUCAAAGCCCUAUUUCUGUAGUUGUUGUUCUUAAGACAUUAUUUUUCAUAGUCGUAUGGUACAGCUUCAGUACUUGUUUGACUUUAUAUAACAAAACACUUUUAGGAGAUGAUUUGGGAAAGUUUCCUGCUCCAAUGUUGAUGAACACUGUCCACUUUGGAAUGCAAGCUGUUCUGUCUAAUGCAAUUACAUGGUUUUGGGCCAAAAGAUUUCGACCCAGAGUAGCCAUGUCAUGGAGGGAUUACUUUAUGUGAGGGAGAAUGUACUCCAGUUGCGCUUGCACCAGGUGGCGGACCUUGUCUGGGAGAACACUUUAACUGCUAUCUUGGUCAGAUUGGUCUGCCUCAUUUGAGAUUCAGCGAGGAAGAAAAAAAAUCUUCUUGUUACCACAAAAGAUAAUGGUUUCAAGAUACCUGGAAGUGCUAAUAGUCUCAGAUGCUUGAGAUUGGAAACCAGUCCUUAGAAGCACUAAGAGCAGCAACUAAUAACAUGCUCCAGGUUGCACAUCUUUAGACAAAUUCUGGUGUUGCAAUUUUAGCUCUUGGGUCAAAUGGGAUUAAAAAACUUUGGAAGUGGGGCCGCAGGGAACAAAAUCUAAGUGGCAAAGAUCAGUGUACUUAUAUCUUGCCUCCCCACCCUUAAUUGCAGUUUCAUGAUGGCUAAAAUGACAUUUUCAUAUAUCACGAACAACCUUUAUGUGCCGGUAGGAUGAAAGUUUUAUUUAAUAUAUUAUUGUAGAUACAUCUCAAUCUGUCUCCGAUGUUUCUUUUACUACUGGACCUUGAGCUAAAUCACAAUUGCAUUAACUUCUAUUAGGAGGUUAGGUGAAAUAUGUUAUUCAAAUUUCACAAGGUAGACUGUCAUUUUCAUACUUUUGCUUCAAAUUCUUAAAAAGUUAAAUGUAGGUUUCCUAAUUCGCAUGCACAAAAGUUCCGUUGAUGUGCUGUAUUGUGUGGAAUGGUUAGAUUUGACAUUCUUUUACUGUGAAAUAUUUGUAUAGUUUUAUGCAUUUAAAGCAGAAUAUCUUCACAUGGAGAUGCAUUCUAACAUAUAUCAUUUAUUUACUGAAUAAAUUAUCGGUUAAUGUGUAUUUGUCUCACAGACUCACAGUUAUUGACAGUUUGACACUCAGUUUGUCCCAGCAAAGUGCGUCACUUACAGUUGGGCUUCUUAGAUCUUUUGUACACUAGAAUCACAAUGAGAUCUUUAUCUUUUCUCUUUCAUUUUCCUUUAUGGUUUUUUUUUUUCUCAUGAAACUUUUUUUCAAGCAUAUUUAUUUAUUUUUUAUUUGCAUAUGUACAGGAAUACAUGUCUGGAAGAGGGUGGAGAUUGAAUGCCAACAACAUUUUGAGACUGUGACAUCACUGUUUGUGCCCGAAGUUCUAUAACUGAAAUAGGGUCUGAGUAUAGGUAAUAUUCUCACUCCAGUUAUACUAAAUGCAUUUUUUUGCAUGCAUGUAUUGUCAAAUAAGAGUCACCAAGAUGGAAAUGUGAACACUGGCGGGAAUAGUUUUAUUUCUAAUUUCCACUCCAACACUAUUAGAGGCAUUAAUUUGCUUCUGCCUUUAAUGGAGUGAAUCAUAGUACAUUUAAAAGAGAAUCUAUGAAGGCCCAAAUCCAUGUUCAAUCAAGAAAUUCUAUAACAACAAUGUAGUGUGCCUUCCCUGUAUCAGCCUUUUUAAGAUUUCCCCUUCUGACAGGGCACAGUUCUAAUGAAGUAGGUGAAUUUUAACAUAAGUUCACAAGUACCGUACAUGCAUUUGCAAGGUUUUCAUCUUUGCAUAGUUCUUCUAAACCUUGGUCGCUGAAUUUUGAUACCUGAGAUCCUAGUGAUACUAAUAUUAGAUGUGACUUAUCGCUGAGUUUAGAUAACUGAGUUCAUAGUGAUACUAAUAUUAGAUGUGACUGAUAAGUUUCUAUAUGAAAAAUACCUCAUAACCUUAUAGAGGGGGGUGGGCCUCAUUGCAAUGGUAAGGUUGUUCCAUUGCGACCUAAAGCUGCAUACAUUAUGAUCUAAGAUCCCAUAGUGGUGGGAGCCUCGUGCAUUGGAUACACACUUUUUAUGAGGAAUACCUCAUAUAGAUCUAUAUUUCUCAACAAACAUGAAUGGUGGCGGCUAAUAACUACUAUGCUGUUUUCCUAAUUAGCGCUUCAUACCUCAAAGAAUUCAAUGGAUCUAGUUAUGCUUGCUUAUGUCAAUUCAUUAUAAUAUUUUGAUGAGCACUCGGGAUGCCAUAAUGGAUCAAGUUAUGCUUGCUUAUGUCAAUUUAGAAUGCCAUAAUUCCUACUUUGUUGUCUCUCUCUCUCUCUCUCUCUCUCACACGAUGAUUAUUCCAAUUCUUUAGUUUUUGUCAUUGUAGAAGCUUGCGAAUAUGGAGUUCUCUCUUUUCUCUUUUAUUAUGUACUCCAUAUGUAUUUUGAAUGUAAGAUUCAAAUAUGUAUUUAGUUUUCUCAUGUUGGUCCUUUUUAUAUUGAUUGCCUUGUAUACAAAUUGCUGAAAAUUGGAAGGUCUAUUGGCAUUUAGACUGUAGAUAGAUGAUGUGAGCAGCAAGAGAGAUCAAGGUAGGGAGAGAAUCGUGGGGGGUAGAGAGAUUUGGGAUAAAGAGGGGUAGAUUAAGUAAGUUAGGGCAAAGAGAAAAUCGGUGGUGUACAGAGAUACAAUGACAUAACACUCCAGAAGCCCCCUCCACUCAUCCUCUAUUUCACCUUCUUUACUUUUAGUUGACCCUAGAUAUCUAAAAUAGUCACCUGUAUGGAAUAUCUGUCUCUUUGAUUUUCAUCAUUUCAUUAUCUAUCGUAGAGUGACUGAAAUUACACCUCAUAUACUCCAUCUUUGAUCUACUAAUCUUUAAACCUCUUGUUUCCAAGGUAGAUCUCCAUAAUUCUAACUUAGUGUUGAUCCCUGCUUUAGUCUCAUCCACUAAAACCAUAUCAUUGGCAAAGUGCAUACACCAGGGGACUUCAUCCAGAAUGCUUUUGGAUAGCUCAUCCAUGAUAAGGGCAAAUAGAUAGGAGCUUAAGGUUGAUCCUUGAUGUUGUCUAAUCGUAAUUGGGAAUUCUAUGCCUUGACCUCCUACAGAUCUCAUGCUAGUCACCACACCCUCAUACAUGUCCUUAAUUAUCUCCAAAUACGUACUCGACACCUCUUUCUUUACUAAUACAUACCAUAUUAGAUCUCUAGGAACUCUCUCAUAUGCUUUUUCUAGGUCAAUAAAGGCCAUGUGGAGAACUUUCUUGUAGGCUCUAUAACUUUCCAUUGGCCUCUGUCGUGGAUUUACUUGGCAUAAAUCCAAAUUGGUUCUCUGAGAUCUUAUUUGAAGUGUGUUUCUAUCUAGGAUAAAUGCAGAUUGGUUGUCACUAAGUCAAUCACCAACUUCAGCCUAUUAGCAAGGAUUUUCCUGAUGAACUUAUGAAGUAGAUGGCAAAGGGAGCACCUUCUUUCUUAGAAAUAAAGUGAAAUGUGAUCAACCUUCUAUCUGACUGAGAUUGUAGAAAAAACUAAGCAAGUCUUUGAUGAGGUUGCCUUUGAUGAUGCUCUAGGUUGAGGAGAAGAAACCUAUAUUGAAGCCAUAUCGACCAAAGGCUCUACUAGCAUUAUGAGAGAGUGGAUGGUAGCGAGAAUCUCUUCCUUAGAGGAGAGAGCCUGAAGGGAUCCAUGAAAGGAUUGGGGGAGGAAAUUGUUGGGGAGGCACUUAGGGUUAGCUUCAAAAGAGGGGAGGGGAGAAGGUCUGAAUAUUUUCACAAAUUAGUCCACAAUUUCUCUCUUGAUAUCUUCCGCCCUUAAAAAGGGGGAGUUGUCUCUAGCAAGGAGAAUGGAAAUGGAGUUGACAUUGGUUCAUGUUCUUAUGGGUUAUGGAAAUAACUAGCGUUGGAAUCUCUAGCUUGAGCCAUUUGACUCUACCCUCAUAUUUUAGAUCUCAUACGCAAGAGGCUCCAACUCUGGAAGGGCAAGUUUCUUUCUUAUGCCAAUCACCUAGAAUUGAUCAGAUUUGUCCUUCAAUCUUGCUACUUCUAUUGGUUUGGUAUUUUUAAGUUGCCUCAGACCACUUGAAUCCCUUAUGUGUGCCUUUCUCUAGAAAGGAUCUGAAGCUUCUAAAUUCUCCACCCUAUCAGUUAGGCUUCUAUUUGUCUUCCCAAAGAUGAGGGUGGGUGUCUUGGUUUGAGAAAAAAUAUAGAGGUAUAGCAUUCUCAAAUUGAUCUGAAAGCUUAUGGCUAAGAAGAAAAUUUUUGAUUUCCUUUAACCACUAUUAAUUGUGUUAAGCUUUGCACCAUCUACUCGUGACAUACUAGAGGAACUAAAAAAUUUAAAAUCCAUUUUCUUUUAAUGAAAAUUUAUUCUGCUGGAUAGAAGAGCCAAAGAAAGAGGAGGUUGAUGUUAUUUCCCCCAAGCCCCCCCCAGAAAAAAAAAUAAAAUAAAAAAUCUUCUCUAAUCGUAUAAGAGAAAAGAGAAACCUUCAAAAUCCCUAAAGUUCUUACUAGUCCAUGUAUUAUUAAUUGAUUGUAGCCUUUGCAGAAGCUCAGGGUUCUCCUAUAUAUUAUUUACUUUGGUGAAUGUUUUCCUAUAUGAUAUUAGCUAGGUUACAAUUAGCAAACUUCACAUUCUAGUAGGGUAAUGGGUUUACAAGUGUAGUUAGAUUGACUGAUCGAACACUUUUUUGGACUAAUAAAAUAAUUCAUUACAAUGAUUUGGGGGAGGGUGGGAGGGAACAAGCAAAAUGCAAGUCCUUACCUUUACAAAGGGGGAGGCAAGGGCUAGCCAAAAUGAAGGGGACAACCCCCAAUCGAAAACAACACACUAAAAAAAGAAGGAAAAGAGUGACCACAACAUGGAAACCAGGUCCAACCUAAAAGAAAGCAUACAACCCAGGGGAGGAGGAACCUCAAAGCAAAAGGCCACCAAAUCAUCACUAGAUGUCUCAAUAGAGAACAUGAUUACAAAUUUCCAUACUUUGGAGGAAAAAGUUCUCAUUACUGGGCAAGGAAUAGACUUCAUAAGGCAUCUUCUUGGGGUAUUGAAGGGAGCUAUUGUCACACCAACAAUAGACACGAAUAGGAACCACGAGGGGCUAAAGUGGGAACAUGGGAGGAUGGAGGGUUAGGAUGGGAUUAGGGGUGAGGGAAUAAAGGGUAGAGGAAUGGGAGGGUCCCCAUUGGGACCCAGGAGGUUGGAUUUGAAGAGGUUAGUGAGAUUGGGGGUAGGCCAAGUGGGCAAACGGAGAGGGUUCGAUGUGGAGAUGGGCCAGGCUAAGUGCGAGUUGGGGUGGGGCGAAGGGUUGGGGUUAGACAACUCAUGGGAAUAGUGUCUUUAUUGAUGGUGAGCUGAGGUGCUUGGUUGAACCAGUUUCAAACAUGAAGCAAAAUACUGUUGGGUACUCAGUUAGACGAACCCUUCAUUUAGGUCAAAGUGUUCCUUGUAGAGCACACAAUAGUUCUCUAAUAUUUAUUUUACCUCUAUUGGGUGGGAGGCUUGGGGAGGUGGUUUGGUCCUCCAAAUAUCAGCAGAAAAUUUUCACUAGUUGGGAAGAUAUGGGUCAAUGAGUUUUACCCAGAAAUUCUCCUCCAGUCAGUGUCUGUCGCAGGAUAUGACCAGAACAACACCAGUAGUAGAUCUUGGUAGUUAGUAAAGAUCCUUCUGAUAUGCUCUGAAAUAGAUCAAUCAACCUACAGAAAAUUAAAGAAAUAAAAGGGGAAAACAGAAACUUAUGGAAGGAUGAGAAGGGCAAAAGAAGAAUGAUGUGGAUUCACCAUCUCCUUGGGCCUCUCAAUCCUCAACCAUUUUUGGGCAUCCCACCCCUCAGUCAACCCUCUCAACCACAAAAGAAACUAUUCAAUUUUCAUUCUUCAAAAUUUGAGCCAAAAGGCAACAAUUACUUCUCUUAAUGGAAAGAAAUAAUAUAAGAAACUAUUACAAAAAGGAAACUAGUAGGGAAAACAGAAAUUGAUCCUAUUUAAAAUCUUUCCUAUUUGAAAACUAGUUUCUUGCUAAGGGAAUAAAAUCCUACUUGUAGUGGCUUUCUGAUUUUCUUCCUCCAAAUGUAUCCUUGCUGAUCAAGCUUCACAAUAAGAUAAAAUAACAGCCCAAUGCUGAGAUUGGUAGCAAGGAUUUUAAAUCUUUUAGAGUUUUUCUUGGCCCUCCUUAAUUCUUCUAGUCAAGCCAUCUACAUCAAUGAUCCAAGGGUUGGAUCAAUGGCUGUAAUAGGUGGAAUAAAAUAGAAAGUUUGGAAACAAAUUUAGCAAUAUCCAAAAACUAAAAAUCUAUUGAGCCAAUCAAUACCAAGGAUGUCGGACCUAGUCAAUGGAGAUGGACGUCCAAAUAUCUUAGCCAACUAAGGGCUGAAUAUAAAGAUAUGGGCUAGACCAGAAAAUAGAAAGUAGUUUCUUAGAAAAAAAGGCUUACUAUUACUAAGAAUGGAUAAAGCCUUAAUUCAGAUCGAAAGAAGGCCCUCGAAUGUAGGUCAAUGCUUCAAAAGAUCAUAAGGAUCUGAUGUUCCAAUCAAGAGAUAAAGAACAGACGAAUUCAAAAGGAAAAUACAGCCAAUAGAUUGUAAGCACAUUAGUUCCUUCCACAACAACACAACAAACUAUGGUCAUAGCUACAAGUGGACAACCUCAAUAUGCCUAAAGUUGCUGAGAACUUGAAAUAGAAACAAGAGAAAAAGAUGGGGAUAUAACCAAGCUAGGGGUGUCAAUCGGUCGGGUCGAGCUAGUCUCGGUUGGGCCUAACCGGGCCUGGUGGUGUGAAAUCCUUGCAUUGUGAACGCUCGUUUACUUAAACGGGCUUGGGUUUGGGGGCCAUGGUUUGGUUUGUAAUCGGGCCGAUCGGUGUUGGGCUUUAAUCGGACUAUGUACCUAUUUAAUUCUAAACGGGCUUUAAAUGUGUCUACCCUAAAAUCAUUUUUUAAGCGGAUUAAACUAUUGGCUUUAAAAUUAAUGGAGGAUAACAUUCACAAUUUUGGAACCAUAUCUAAGGGAAUCAUGUUAUUAAAAUGUAAUCUAUGUUAUAAGAAUUACACACUUUUUAACAAUUGAAUGAUCCAAGAACAUUACAAAUCUGUAAUUGGAUUUUUGAUUCACUAGUAUACAUAAUACAAUGAAAGAAAAAGCCUACUUUGGGCAGCUGUCUUUCCCUUCAAUCAAACAAUGGCUUCUUUGAUUUUAUCAGAACCAGAGAGUCUGAGACAGUAAAAAAAAAAAGAAAUAUCUUAUAUCAAAACCAGCAAUGGCUUCUUUGAUUUUGUCAGAACCAAAGAGAGUCUAAGACAGUAAAAAAAAGAAAAAGAAAAAUAAGAAAUACCUUAUAUCAGAACUAGAAUGACUUCUUUGAUUUUAUCAGAACCAAAGAGAGUCUGAGAUAGUAAAAAAAAAGAAA
Molecule: long non-coding RNA, 8655 nt
Organism: Macadamia integrifolia
Lineage: Eukaryota; Viridiplantae; Streptophyta; Magnoliopsida; Proteales; Proteaceae
Exons: 6
Source: RefSeq, a predicted model, not a curated record